Molecule: ribosomal RNA, 911 nt
Filed under: Enterococcus faecium
Lineage: Bacteria; Bacillati; Bacillota; Bacilli; Lactobacillales; Enterococcaceae
Description: bacterial SSU rRNA
Rfam family: Bacterial small subunit ribosomal RNA
Source: RNAcentral
CUCGGCGUCUAUACAUGCAGUCGAACGCUUCUUUUUCCACCGGAGCUUGCUCCACCGGAAAAAGAAGAGUGGCGAACGGGUGAGUAACACGUGGGUAACCUGCCCAUCAGAAGGGGAUAACACUUGGAAACAGGUGCUAAUACCGUAUAACAAUCAAAACCGCAUGGUUUUGAUUUGAAAGGCGCUUUCGGGUGUCGCUGAUGGAUGGACCCGCGGUGCAUUAGCUAGUUGGUGAGGUAACGGCUCACCAAGGCCACGAUGCAUAGCCGACCUGAGAGGGUGAUCGGCCACAUUGGGACUGAGACACGGCCCAAACUCCUACGGGAGGCAGCAGUAGGGAAUCUUCGGCAAUGGACGAAAGUCUGACCGAGCAACGCCGCGUGAGUGAAGAAGGUUUUCGGAUCGUAAAACUCUGUUGUUAGAGAAGAACAAGGAUGAGAGUAACUGUUCAUCCCUUGACGGUAUCUAACCAGAAAGCCACGGCUAACUACGUGCCAGCAGCCGCGGUAAUACGUAGGUGGCAAGCGUUGUCCGGAUUUAUUGGGCGUAAAGCGAGCGCAGGCGGUUUCUUAAGUCUGAUGUGAAAGCCCCCGGCUCAACCGGGGAGGGUCAUUGGAAACUGGGAGACUUGAGUGCAGAAGAGGAGAGUGGAAUUCCAUGUGUAGCGGUGAAAUGCGUAGAUAUAUGGAGGAACACCAGUGGCGAAGGCGGCUCUCUGGUCUGUAACUGACGCUGAGGCUCGAAAGCGUGGGGAGCAAACAGGAUUAGAUACCCUGGUAGUCCACGCCGUAAACGAUGAGUGCUAAGUGUUGGAGGGUUUCCGCCCUUCAGUGCUGCAGCUAACGCAUUAAGCACUCCGCCUGGGGAGUACGACCGCAAGGUUGAAACUCAGAAAAAUAUUUAUCGCCGGG